AGAGUUUGAUCCUGGCUCAGAUUAAACGCUGGCGGCAUGCCUUACACAUGCAAGUCGAACGGUAGCGCGGGGCAACCUGGCGACGAGUGGCGAACGGGUGAGUAAAGCAUCGGAACGUGCCCUGGAAUGGGGGAUAACGUAGCGAAAGUUACGCUAAUACCGCAUAUUCUGUGAGCAGGAAAGCAGGGGAUCGCAAGACCUUGCGUUCUGGGAGCGGCCGAUGUCGGAUUAGCUAGUUGGUGGGGUAAAAGCCUACCAAGGCGACGAUCCGUAGCGGGUCUGAGAGGAUGAUCCGCCACACUGGGACUGAGACACGGCCCAGACUCCUACGGGAGGCAGCAGUGGGGAAUUUUGGACAAUGGGCGGAAGCCUGAUCCAGCCAUGCCGCGUGAAUGAAGAAGGCCUUCGGGUUGUAAAGCUCUUUCGGUGGGGAAGAAAUUGCACGGGUUAAUACCCUGUGUAGAUGACGGUACCCGACUAAGAAGCACCGGCUAACUACGUG
Molecule: ribosomal RNA, 502 nt
Filed under: uncultured bacterium
Lineage: Bacteria
Description: bacterial SSU rRNA
Rfam family: Bacterial small subunit ribosomal RNA
Source: RNAcentral